RNAcentral lists this transfer RNA (73 nucleotides) under Actinomycetota bacterium. RNAcentral's name for it is "tRNA-Gly". It matches the Rfam family "tRNA". From Rfam's summary of the family: Transfer RNA (tRNA) molecules are approximately 80 nucleotides in length. Their secondary structure includes four short double-helical elements and three loops (D, anti-codon, and T loops). Lineage: Bacteria; Bacillati; Actinomycetota. The record is from RNAcentral.
GUGGUCGUCGUUCAACGGACAAGGAUCCCGGCGCGCCACGCCGGCAAUGGUGGUUCGAUUCCGCCCGGCCACA